CAGGUAGGCGUCCCUACAAGUUAGAAGUGAAAUCCUAAGGCUCAACCUUAGAACUGCUUUUAAAACUGUCGGGAUUGAGGUCAGAAGAGGAAAGCGGAAUUCCCGGUGUAAGGGUGAAAUCUGUAGAUAUCGGGAGGAACACCAGUGGCGAAGGCGGCUUUCUGGUCUGACCCUGACGCUAAGCUGCGAAAGCUAGGGGAGCAAACAGGAUUAGAUACCCUGGUAGUCCUAGCCGUAAACGAUGAGCACUAGGUGUCGGGGGGUAACCUUCGGCGCCGCAAGGUAACCCGUUAAGUGCUCCACCUGGGGACUACGACCGCAAGGUUAAA
Molecule: ribosomal RNA, 329 nt
Filed under: uncultured bacterium
Lineage: Bacteria
Description: bacterial SSU rRNA
Rfam family: Bacterial small subunit ribosomal RNA
Source: RNAcentral